GAUCCGGGAGCGACGGCGGUGGGACGCCGACGCAGCAUGGGAUCCGCAAACCUGAGGCGGAGCUUCGCGGCCGUUCCCCGGCGGCGCGCGGG
This is a regulatory RNA element of 92 nucleotides. It matches the Rfam family "Rhodo-rpoB RNA". The record is from Rfam.